AUUGAACGCUGGCGGCAGGCCUAACACAUGCAAGUCGAGCGGAUGAAGGGAGCUUGCUCCUGGAUUCAGCGGCGGACGGGUGAGUAAUGCCUAGGAAUCUGCCUGGUCUUGGGGGAUAACGUCCGGAAACGGGCGCUAAUACCGCAUACGUCCUUAUGGAGAAAGUGGGGGAUCUUCGGACCUCACGCUAUCAGAUGAGCCUAGGUCGGAUUAGCUAGUUGGUUGGGUAAAGGCCUACCAAGGCGACGAUCCGUAACUGGUCUGAGAGGAUGAUCAGUCACACUGGAACUGAGACACGGUCCAGACUCCUACGGGAGGCAGCAGUGGGGAAUCUUGGACAAUGGGCGAAAGCCUGAUCCAGCCAUGCCGCGUGUGUGAAGAAGGUCUUCGGAUUGUAAAGCACUUUAAGUUGGGAGGAAGGGAAGUAAGUUAAUACCUUGCUGUUUUGACGUUACCAACAGAAUAAGCACCGGCUAACUUCGUG
RNAcentral lists this ribosomal RNA (484 nucleotides) under uncultured bacterium. RNAcentral's name for it is "partial 16S ribosomal RNA". It matches the Rfam family "Bacterial small subunit ribosomal RNA", at positions 30 to 507 of the family's 1533-position model. The record is from RNAcentral.